Molecule: long non-coding RNA, 1104 nt
Organism: Mesocricetus auratus (golden hamster)
Lineage: Eukaryota; Metazoa; Chordata; Mammalia; Rodentia; Cricetidae
Exons: 3
Source: RefSeq, a predicted model, not a curated record
CCAACACACAGAUUUGCACAGAUUCUCUAACACACAUUUCCUCAACUGGAGGGGACAGCCCACGCAGAGCUGGUGAACCCUGAGAAAAGUGGGUUCUGGUCUUGUUUGGGGGGCGCAGAGAAACUAUUCUUUCCUCUCUCACUCAGCGCCACUAACAAAACGCGCGGACUCAAGAGGAAAAAAAGAAAAGGAGAAGAAGAAGAAGAAAACUCCACGUAGUGGAUCCCGAACCCACUCACUGUGACAUUUGUCUAGGGUAGUCGUCCACGGGGGGACAAACGUGCUGGAAGCCGGAGACACAGACCCAGAGCGGGACCCAAACAAAUACUACUGGAGAUAAAAGAGUCAAAAACACCGGGUCGGUGUUCUUUCCGGGUUGUCUGAGGAUAAACGAGGGACUCGGUUGACUUACACUGAGGACAGGGGGGGAGGAGGAUCAAAGGGAAGAGAGUGGUGAUCCCCCAAGAUGAGCUCUUUGAGAAAGGCAGCCCCAAGAAAACACUCACUUUCCUGAGACUCAAAGGCCGGGAGAGCGGCUGGUGGGAGGUACAAAGUCCUACUUGGCAAAAUUUGGCUUUUUGCUCAAGUAUCUUCACAGAGCCUUUGUCCAUCUUCAUCCUAGUGGAAAACACCUUGCAGGGUGGAAAGCCCAUGCGGACAUGUGAACCAUCAGCCUUUUCCUGCUGUUUCUCUGCCGUAGUCACAAAAGGAUUAGCUAAACUGAUGACCAAAAAGGCAAAAUUGCACCUUUGUUCUGCUCCUGCCAUUCCUGUCAAGCAAGGAAGUUGGAAGGUGGAAAGAGCGCCCUCUGCUGAACUUGUAAGCGUGGCCUGGGUCCUUGGAGAUGCCAUACUCAGAAUGACGCCAAUUGGAAAAACAAUCAGAAACACCUUUGGAGCUUUGGGAAGAAAUAUGUGUGACCGGGUUCCACUACUCCAGUUCUGGAGGUCCUGAGGAGAAGCUCAUGGGUUGGCUCUGGGGUGAAGGCUGCCAUAUGUAACCAGACCUUUCAACAGAUUUGCAGGAGUCAGACAUAUAAUCACUUGAAAACCACUGGUAUCGCUCAUUUGUGUAACCUUAAUAAAUAAAGGCAUUUAAAAACCA